AGCUUGCUGGGUACUCGAGUGGCGAACGGGUGAGUAACACGUGGGUGAUCUGCCCUGCACUCUGGGAUAAGCCUGGGAAACUGGGUCUAAUACCGGAUAUGACCAACUGUCGCAUGGUGGUUGGUGGAAAGCUUUUGCGGUGUGGGAUGGGCCCGCGGCCUAUCAGCUUGUUGGUGGGGUAAUGGCCUACCAAGGCGACGACGGGUAGCCGACCUGAGAGGGUGAUCGGCCACACUGGGACUGAGACACGGCCCAGACUCCUACGGGAGGCAGCAGUGGGGAAUAUUGCACAAUGGGCGCAAGCCUGAUGCAGCGACGCCGCGUGAGGGAUGACGGCCUUCGGGUUGUAAACCUCUUUCACCAGGGACGAAGCGUGAGUGACGGUACCUGGAGAAGAAGCACCGGCCAACUACGUGCCAGCAGCCGCGGUAAUACGUAGGGUGCGAGCGUUGUCCGGAAUUACUGGGCGUAAAGAGCUCGUAGGCGGUUUGUCGCGUCGUCUGUGAAAUUCUGCAACUCAAUUGCAGGCGUGCAGGCGAUACGGGCAGACUUGAGUACUACAGGGGAGACUGGAAUUCCUGGUGUAGCGGUGAAAUGCGCAGAUAUCAGGAGGAACACCGGUGGCGAAGGCGGGUCUCUGGGUAGUAACUGACGCUAGGACGAAG
Molecule: ribosomal RNA, 665 nt
Filed under: Gordonia terrae
Lineage: Bacteria; Bacillati; Actinomycetota; Actinomycetes; Mycobacteriales; Gordoniaceae
Description: bacterial SSU rRNA
Rfam family: Bacterial small subunit ribosomal RNA
Source: RNAcentral